This 774-nucleotide ribosomal RNA is filed under the name uncultured Neocallimastigales. RNAcentral describes it as "partial large subunit ribosomal RNA". It matches the Rfam family "Eukaryotic large subunit ribosomal RNA", at positions 22 to 621 of the family's 3401-position model. Lineage: Eukaryota; Fungi; Neocallimastigomycota; Neocallimastigomycetes; Neocallimastigales. The record is from RNAcentral.
AUAUCAGUCAUGCAUAGCAUAUCAAUAAGCGGAGGAAAAGAAACUAACAAGGAUUCCCUUAGUAACGGCGAGUGAAGCGGGAAGAGCUCAAAUUUGAAAUCUUCAAGGUUUUACCUUGACGAAUUGUAGUUUAAAGAAGUGUUUUCUGUUGAAGUUUUGGUAAAAGUUCUUUGGAAUAGGACAUCAUAGAGGGUGAGAAUCCCGUAUUUGACCAUUACUUUCAGCUUUGUGAUACACUUUCAAGGAGUCGGAUUGUUUGGGAAUGCAGUCCAAAAUGGGUGGUAAAUUUCAUCUAAAGCUAAAUAUUGGCGAGAGACCGAUAGCGAACAAGUACCGUGAGGGAAAGAUGAAAAGAACUUUGAAAAGAGAGUUAAACAGUACGUGAAAUUGUCAAAAGGGAAGCGUUUGACACCAGUGUUGUUUUCUCGAAAAUCAAUUAAAAAGAGUUGGAUUUUGUGUUGUAUUGACUUUAUCAGCUUUCUUCACUCUUUUCCAGCUUUUUUUAAUGCACUUUUCGUUUAACAAGUCAACAUCAGUUUCUUUUGUUGUAAAAAGGUCAUUGGAAGGUGGCUUUCUCUUCGGAGAAAGUGUUUAUAGCCUUUGACUCAUGCAAUCGGAGAGACUGAGGUCUGCAGCGUAGAUCCUUCGGGGUUAGAUACAUUUGUGCUAAGUUAUAGCUUUUCAUAGACAACUUGUUGACUAUGUUUAGUCUUGUAGCUUACUCGCUUAUGCUAUUUUACCUACGCUUAGGAUGUUGAACUCUAUCACACACAG